Tribolium castaneum (red flour beetle) is the source of this 2427-nucleotide long non-coding RNA. RefSeq lists it as uncharacterized. NCBI's taxonomy places the organism in Eukaryota, Metazoa, Arthropoda, Insecta, Coleoptera, Tenebrionidae. The transcript is spliced from 2 exons. The record is from RefSeq and is a predicted model, not a curated record.
UACGGCUCCUCAUCCUCUAAUCACUGAUUAGAACACUUGUAGUAACGCUUCCGCGGCUACAUCACGCACGAAUUUUUUAAAGAGAACCAAAAAGCGCGCCCUCUUUCUAGUUAUCUCUCAGCCCUACAGUUGGUACCUUUGAAUUCGCCAUUACGUUUUUCGUGCGCUGCGAUCACGCUUGUUACGGACCAAGUUUCUCGUAGAAAUUUGGAAAAUUCACGUUUGUAUUAAUUAAUUUGUAACCUUUUUACCUCCUUUAUGGGCUAGGUAAUGGGGAAACAUAAACGAAGCCAUUCCCGUUCCUCGUCGCCACGGGACAAACACGUUUCUCGACGGGAGCUGAUGAAGCGUCUGGAAACGUUGGAACGUUUGAUGAGCCGGCGGUAUUCAAGGUCGCGCUCAGGUUUUUCUGAUAACAGAUCUCGGUCGCCGCGUAGUCCUCAGGAUACGCGAAUGACGACUCCCUCAGGGAGUAUUUUUCAUGGUACUGAUCGAGGCAGCCCGGCAAGGAGUGCUCUCGUUUCUCCUAGUAGCCCUAGUGCUCUUGUGAUUCAUAACGAUGAGGAAUUACCCGAGGAAAUACUGGAGUGUUUGGGCGAAGACCCGUCAAAAUUACCAGUAACUCAUAUCACAGUUCCUUCUAGUGUUGUAACACGCUGGACGCACGUGAUGUUUAAUGGUUUGCCAAAAGAGGACAAAGGUCAGUUAUUAAAAUUAUAUCAGCCUCCCGCAAACGGCGGUUUUAAGCCUCCACUUCUUAAUACAGAAGUUGAAGCAAUUUUACCAACAACCUCGGUUAAAAAAGACAGAUACCAAGUUGCUUCGCAAACACAGAUGUUAGCGAGCUUAGGAGCCCACUCAGAGGCUUUAAAAUUAAUAGCUUCGUGUACCACUGAGUUACCCGAACCAUUUAAAAAACAACUGGGUAAAUUACUUUCCGAUUCGGCAAAUCUUAUUUCGGACCUCGUUUUUACGACGUCUCAAACAAGGAGACAUCUUUUGUUUCCUCUUCUUUCAAAACAGGUCAAGGAAUUAACACUUAAAGUUCCGCCCAGGGAAUUUCUCUUUGGAGCAAAUAUGGCAGACGAAUUACGUACGGCAAAAUCAGCAGAAAGGUUAGCAAAAGACCUGAAAGCUCCUUGCUCCACAUCGCAAAACCAGCAUAGGUUUUCAAAAAGUGAGGGGAGGGUAAAACAAUCCCAACCCCAACGCACACUAGGAUAUCAUAAUAAAAACACAAGUCGUAGUGCUUUAAACCGAAGAAGCCCGACUCGUCCACAGAGAGUAGGACAAAAGUCAACAGGGCGCUACUCUCAGAAAACGUACAAAAAGUAGUCCAGACAAACCCAUCCACUGGCAGAUUCCCUUACGUUGAUGGCAGGGAUUGUCUCCGGAAAGCGUAUCAACAAAGAGGUCUCCCAGAAGAAGCAGUAGAUACGAUGAUUAGGUCGAUAUCUCACACAACACUCAGACAGUAUCAAACCACAUAUAAACUUUGGUGGGACUACUGUACACAAACCAACACAGACUAUUUCAAUGCAACACCACAUCAAGUUAUCCAAUUUUUACAACAGCUUUUAGUUACAAAGUCCCAUAACUACGGAACUUUUAAUUCGCAUAGAUCUGCCUUAUCUUUAUUGUUAUCAGGAAACAUAGGCAACGAUAGUGAUCUAAAACGAUAUCUUAAGGGAAUAAUGAGGUUAAGACCAACGAAGCCAAAAUAUUCAACAACCUGGGAUCCUGCUCCAGUAGUAAAAUAUCUGCAGGCCUUAUUUCCUUAUGAUAGAUUGAGUUUAGAAACUCUUACAUCCAAAGUAGUCACACUUUUAGCUCUCAUUUCAGCCCAUAGGGUCCAGACCUUAAGUCUCAUUCAAUUGUCCAAUAUACAAAUAUCAGAAUCAGGCAUCACUAUCAAAAUUACAGAAUCCACAAAAUAAGUUUACGAACAGGAAUUUAUCCAGUUAUGAAAUAUAAAUACUUUACAGCUCAGCCCGAAUCAUGCAUUGUUUUGGCGAUCCAAGCCUAUAUCAAUAGGACCGAAGAGUUACGCAACUCGGAGGAUUUCCUAUUUAUUACAACGAAGAAGCCGUUUAAGAAAGCAAGCACAAACACUAUUAGCAGAUGGAUAAAGAACACCCUGCAUGAAGCGGGCGUUGACACUUCUGUUUUUAGUGGACACUCUACUCGUCAUGCUGCAACCUCUGCAGCUGUCCGCAAGGGCAUUUCAGUAGAGAUCAUUCGUCAAAAUGUUGGUUGGACAGCAACGUCUCGUGUUUUUGAAACUUUCUACAAUCGCCCCUUAUCAACAGGGGACAACAUUUGUAAUGCUAUCCUGUCCUGAGACAUUCAGGCCAAUAGCAUCUUUUUCGAUUUAAUCGAAUUUGUUCUUUACAAUAAUAAGCAAUAAACAGCUUUAAACAUCUACAA